AGCAGCCGCGGUAAUUCCAGCUCCAAUAGCGUAUAUUAAAGUUGUUGCAGUUAAAAAGCUCGUAGUUGAAUUUCGGGGUUAGUAGAUUGGUCAUGCCUCUGGUAUGUACUGGUCUCACUGAUUCCUCCUUCCUGAUGAACCUUAAUGCCAUUAAUUUGGUGUUUUGGGGAAUUUGGACUGUUACUUUGAAAGAAUUAGAGUGUUUAAAGCAAGCUAACGCUUGAAUACAUUAGCAUGGAAUAAUGAAAUAGGACGUUCGAUCCUAUUUUGUUGGUUUCUAGGAUUGACGUAAUGAUUAAUAGGGAUAGUUGGGGGCAUUAGUAUUCAACUGUCAGAGGUGAAAUUCUUGGAUUUAUUGAAGACUAACUACUGCGAAAGCAUUUGCCAAGGAUGUUUUCAUUAAUCAAGAACGAAAGUUAGGGGAUCGAAGACGAUCAGAUACCGUCGUAGUCUUAACCAUAAACUAUGCCGACUAGGGAUCGGAUGAUGUUAAUUUUUUAAUGACUCA
Molecule: ribosomal RNA, 508 nt
Filed under: uncultured glomeraceous AM fungus
Lineage: Eukaryota; Fungi; Glomeromycota; Glomeromycetes; Glomerales; Glomeraceae
Description: SSU rRNA
Rfam family: Eukaryotic small subunit ribosomal RNA
Source: RNAcentral